This 305-nucleotide ribosomal RNA is filed under the name uncultured bacterium. RNAcentral describes it as "bacterial SSU rRNA". It matches the Rfam family "Bacterial small subunit ribosomal RNA", at positions 28 to 334 of the family's 1533-position model. The record is from RNAcentral.
GAUGAACGCUGGCGGCGCGCCUAACACAUGCAAGUCGAACGGCACCCACCUCCGGGUGGAAGCGAGUGGCGAACGGCUGAGUAACACGUGGAGAACCUGCCCCCUCCCCCCGGGAUAGCCGCCCGAAAGGACGGGUAAUACCGGAUACCCCGGGGUGCCGCAUGGCGCCCCGGCUAAAGCCCCGACGGGAGGGGGAUGGCUCCGCGGCCCAUCAGGUAGACGGCGGGGUGACGGCCCACCGUGCCGACAACGGGUAGCCGGGUUGAGAGGGUGACCGGCCACAUUGGGACUGAGACACGGCCCAA